This 22-nucleotide microRNA is filed under the name Culex quinquefasciatus (southern house mosquito). Its description in RNAcentral is "cqu-miR-2952". Lineage: Eukaryota; Metazoa; Arthropoda; Insecta; Diptera; Culicidae. The record is from miRBase by way of RNAcentral.
UAGUACGGCCAUGACUGAGGGC